CACGUAGGGGCCAAGCGUUGUCCGGAUUUAUUGGGCGUAAAGAGCUCGUAGGCGGUUCGACAAGUCGGGUGUGAAAACUCCGGGCUCAACCCGGAGACGCCACCCGAUACUGUCGUGACUGGAGUCCGGUAGGGGAGUGGGGAAUUCCUGGUGUAGCGGUGAAAUGCGCAGAUAUCAGGAGGAACACCAAUGGCGAAGGCAGCUCGCUGGGACGUGACUGACGCUGAGACGCGAAAGCGUGGGGAGCAAACAGG
This 254-nucleotide ribosomal RNA is filed under the name uncultured bacterium. Its description in RNAcentral is "partial 16S ribosomal RNA". It matches the Rfam family "Bacterial small subunit ribosomal RNA", at positions 524 to 776 of the family's 1533-position model. The record is from RNAcentral.